GAUGAACGCUAGCUACAGGCUUAACACAUGCAAGUCGAGGGACAGCAUGAACUUAGCUUGCUAAGUUUGAUGGCGACCGGCGCACGGGUGAGUAACACGUAUCCAACCUGCCGAUGACUCGGGGAUAGCCUUUCGCAAGAAAGAUUAAUACCCGAUGGCAUAGUUCUUCCGCAUGGUAGAACUAUUAAAGAAUUUCGGUCAUCGUUGGGGAUGCGUUCCAUUAGGUUGUUGGCGGGGUAACGGCCCACCAAGCCUUCGAUGGAUAGGGGUUCUGAGAGGAAGGUCCCCCACAUUGGAACUGAGACACGGUCCAAACUCCUACGGGAGGCAGCAGUGAUGAAUAUUGGUCAAUGGACGAGAGUCUGAAACAGCCAAGUAGCGGGAAGGAUGACUGGCCUAGGGGUUGUAAGCUUCUUUUAUACGGGAAUAAAGUGAGGCACGUGUGCCUUUUUGUAUGUACCGUAUGAAUAAGGAUCGGCUAACUCCGUG
This 489-nucleotide ribosomal RNA is filed under the name uncultured bacterium. RNAcentral describes it as "partial 16S ribosomal RNA". It matches the Rfam family "Bacterial small subunit ribosomal RNA", at positions 28 to 507 of the family's 1533-position model. The record is from RNAcentral.